Prionailurus viverrinus (fishing cat) is the source of this 740-nucleotide long non-coding RNA. RefSeq lists it as uncharacterized. The transcript is spliced from 2 exons. Lineage: Eukaryota; Metazoa; Chordata; Mammalia; Carnivora; Felidae. The record is from RefSeq and is a predicted model, not a curated record.
GUGGGUGUGCAACGAAAGCUCUUUUUGACUUGCGGUAUUAAAGAUCCGGAACGUUAUAAAAUGUCUUGGUUUUCAGAUCCUGUUAAGAAUCGCAAGAAGAAACAAUGGCUGUGGAGGACCUUGAACCUCACCCCGAAGACUUGGAGCCUGGGAAGCAAUAAACCAGAUAAGUCACGCUUCCCUGCUCUCUGUUCUCCUUCUCUGCUGUGCCGUUCUCCUGACUCCCCUGGUCUGUCUCUGCCUCUUUCGGUCCUCCUCCUCCUCCUCCUCCUCCUCCUCCUCUUCUCCCCCUCCUCUUCUUUUUGGUGCAAUUUUAUCUCCAGUUUCAUAUCAUUUGCUUUUUCUGCACUUUCUUUGACUUAAUCAUAAGCCAGAAAAUGACAUAGCCUAACUUUUCAGCUCGCUGCACCAAGGGCUAUAAGGGUUCAGCACGAUGAAGGAGAUGUUUCUGAUGUCUGCAAGAAGCUCAUACUCUGGCGGAGAUGAGCUCUGGACGUGUCAGGGGUGGUGAAAGGAGAAAUAUCAUUUGUUGGGGGAUCAAGGAAAGCUAUGCUGAGAGAGGUAGGAUUAGCUGAUAAUGCGAUGCAAGGUUUUGAUGGCAAGACUGAAGGCUGAAGUAGCUGAUGUUCUAGAGUUGGAUACUCUUUUUUUUUUUUAUGAAAUUUAUUGACAAAUUGGUUUCCAUACAACACCCAGUGCUCAUCCCAAAAGGUGCCCUCCUCAAUACCCAUCACCCACCC